CCCCUUCUCCUUUUUCAACCGUGUCCCUCUUUCUCUUCUGGUCUUUGGCUUUUGCAGACUAGGAAGUAGAGGCUUCUUCUACAAGUUCCUGUUCUGUUUCUUCCUUGUGCCGAGUCCCCAUCUUUGCCACUACUCCCUGUUCCCUUCGUCUUCCUCGGACAGAGCACACUCACCAGAGAGGAAACCCAUUUGAAAUUUCUCCUUUCUCUCUUUUUUCCUUCUUUCUUCUUUGGUGAGAAGCUGGUCACCUGAAGCUCUCUACUUCUCUUUGGGUACUUCAUUUCUGU
RNAcentral lists this long non-coding RNA (287 nucleotides) under Carica papaya (papaya). RNAcentral's name for it is "long non-coding RNA (CPAP_LNC008888)". The record is from RNAcentral. Lineage: Eukaryota; Viridiplantae; Streptophyta; Magnoliopsida; Brassicales; Caricaceae.